UGGUAGCUCCCCUAAACCAGACAGUUAUUAUGGAGGUGAGGGUGGACUGAGUGAGGGCAGCGUAGAACUGCCUCAACAAUGACUGUGAUAUUGAUGGGGUGAGUGGGACCAAGGCUUUUCCUGAAGUCCACGAUCAUCUCUACAGCCUUCAGAGCAUUAAACUCCAGGCUGUUACAGGAGCACCGUCUAGUGAGGAGGCCCACAGGAGGCUGAACUGGAAGAAGAACCUGAGGUUCAUAGAGAAACACAACCUGGAAGCUUCAC
Scleropages formosus (Asian bonytongue) is the source of this 264-nucleotide long non-coding RNA. RefSeq lists it as uncharacterized. The transcript is spliced from 3 exons. NCBI's taxonomy places the organism in Eukaryota, Metazoa, Chordata, Actinopteri, Osteoglossiformes, Osteoglossidae. The record is from RefSeq and is a predicted model, not a curated record.